This 32-nucleotide transfer RNA is filed under the name Tulipa lehmanniana. RNAcentral describes it as "tRNA-Phe". Lineage: Eukaryota; Viridiplantae; Streptophyta; Magnoliopsida; Liliales; Liliaceae. The record is from RNAcentral.
UAAUUGAUAAAGUGCUCUACUAGGAUAAUGCG